GAUGAACGCUAGCGGCAGGCUUAAUACAUGCAAGUCGAGGGGCAGCAUGGUUGUAGCAAUACAACUGAUGGCGACCGGCAAACGGGUGCGGAACACGUACGCAAUCUACCCAAAACUGAUGAAUAGCCCUCCGAAAGGAGGAUUAAUACAUCGUAACAUAAUUGAAUGGCAUCAUUUAAUUAUUAUAGCUCCGGCGGUUUUGGAUGAGCGUGCGCCNGAUUAGGUAGUUGGCGGGGUAACGGCCCACCAAGCCUGCGAUCAGUAACUGGUGUGAGAGCACGACCAGUCACACGGGCACUGAGACACGGGCCCGACUCCUACGGGAGGCAGCAGUAAGGAAUAUUGGUCAAUGGACGCAAGUCUGAACCAGCCAUGCCGCGUGAAGGAUGAA
RNAcentral lists this ribosomal RNA (391 nucleotides) under uncultured bacterium. RNAcentral describes it as "bacterial SSU rRNA". It matches the Rfam family "Bacterial small subunit ribosomal RNA", at positions 28 to 412 of the family's 1533-position model. The record is from RNAcentral.